Molecule: non-coding RNA, 28 nt
Filed under: Rattus norvegicus (Norway rat)
Lineage: Eukaryota; Metazoa; Chordata; Mammalia; Rodentia; Muridae
Source: RNAcentral
UACCAGUGGAAGCAAUGGAAAAGCAGAG